GACGAACGCUGGCGGCGUGCUUAACACAUGCAAGUCGAACGGAAAGGCCCUGCUUUUGUGGGGUGCUCGAGUGGCGAACGGGUGAGUAACACGUGAGUAACCUGCCCUUGACUUUGGGAUAACUUCAGGAAACUGGGGCUAAUACCGGAUAGGAGCUCCUGCUGCAUGGUGGGGGUUGGAAAGUUUCGGCGGUUGGGGAUGGACUCGCGGCUUAUGAGCUUGUUGGUGGGGUAGUGGCUUACCAAGGCUUUGACGGGUAGCCGGCCUGAGAGGGUGACCGGCCACAUUGGGACUGAGGUACGGCCCAGACUCCUACGGGAGGCAGCAGUGGGGAAUAUUGCACAGUGGGCGGAAGCCUGAUGCAGCAACGCCGCGUGCGGGAUGACGGCCUUCGGGUUGUAAACCGCUUUCGCCUGUGACGAAGCGUGAGUGACGGUAAUGAGUAAAGAAGCACCGGCUAACUACGUG
Molecule: ribosomal RNA, 468 nt
Filed under: uncultured bacterium
Lineage: Bacteria
Description: partial 16S ribosomal RNA
Rfam family: Bacterial small subunit ribosomal RNA
Source: RNAcentral